CCCCUAGAUGUUCUGGGCCGCACGCGCGCUACACUGAACAGUUCAACAAGUCUUAACCUUGGCCGAUAGGUCUGGGUAAUCUUUGAACGCUGUUCGUGAUUGGGAUAGACCUUUGCACUUAUGGGUCUUCAACGAGGAAUUCCUAGUAAACGCAAGUCAUCAGCUUGCAUUGAUUACGUCCCUGCCCUUUGUACACACCGCCCGUCGCACCUACCGAUUGAAUGGUCCGGUGAAAUCUCGGGACGGCGGCUUGGUCGCUUGCGUCCGACUGCUGAAACUUGAUUAAACCAUAUCAUUUAGAGGAAGGUGAAGUCGUAACA
This 320-nucleotide ribosomal RNA is filed under the name uncultured eukaryote. Its description in RNAcentral is "partial 18S ribosomal RNA". It matches the Rfam family "Eukaryotic small subunit ribosomal RNA", at positions 1470 to 1796 of the family's 1831-position model. The record is from RNAcentral.